Molecule: RNA transcript, 6308 nt
Organism: Capsicum annuum
Lineage: Eukaryota; Viridiplantae; Streptophyta; Magnoliopsida; Solanales; Solanaceae
Gene name: DEAD-box ATP-dependent RNA helicase 24
Exons: 4
Source: RefSeq, a predicted model, not a curated record
AAAAUUUGGUCCCUAAAAGAAUUUGUAACCGAUCCCAAAUUGUAAUUCAAAACCUUGAGUGGGAAAUAAUACCGCCAAAAUUUGAUAUUAAAUUUUAAUAAUAUUUUUUAUUUCACUAAAUAUAUAUAUUAUGCGCAAACUUAAAUUUAUAACUUUUAUGAAAUGCAAAACCCUCUGUUUUCCUCAAACUAACAUAGCUACCUGGUCGCAAUUUUUAACCCUAGCAUUAUCGGGUAUAUAAACAAUGAAACAGUGAGGAAUGCGUAGCUUUUCCAAUUGUAUGUAGCUUUGUCAAUUGUAGAAGAGUUUAUUCUCCACUGUUGUGUCUUCUUCCUUGGGUUACUGCAUAUUUUCCCUAAUCUCUAUUCAUCUCUGUUGAACGAGAAUCAAGGUGCCUUUGGCCGUGUUCUCAUCAUGCUUUGCCUCCGAGCCACAUCCCAUGCCUUUUGAGGUGCCUAGAACCAGCCUGAGAUGCAAAAAAUUACUCAGAGCCAGGUGAUUCAAAGGAGAAACCAGUAUGCUAUUAUUUCUAUCCAAGAAGUUGUAUUAUGACAGUUACUAAUCUCUAAUAAAUCAAUCCUUCUAUUGUCAAUCUCGUGCUUGUGUAUUUCCUAAAUACUCUAAUAAUCAAAUGCAAAAACCAUCUUUGUACCCUAAAACAAAGCAACUAGUAGCGUUCACGUGAGCUACUUUGGUGUUCACCAGGUGAGUUGCAAGCUUCUGCCAUAAAGAUGGUAUUAGACUCUCCAUGUCCUUCCCAUUUGUGAAAGAAAUUAGACUAGAAAGGGUUUAUUUUAAAAGAGUCAAGUAGGCUGUACUGCCUAGGGACUUGUAAGUCUAUGUUCUAUGCAGCGUAAAGAAGAACAAACAAUAGAAAGUAGAUCGAUGUUGGAAAUGCGAGAUGAUUUUAACCACAACAAUAAGGCUAUUUCUUAUGUAGAACAGUUUAAAAAUAGCAGGUUUGUAGAGUCAGUUUUAGAUGUUUACUGGGUGCUUCCACCUGUGGUUGGUCCUUCAUUAACUCUUCAGACAAGAUAUGAUCCAGCUCAUGCAUCAAGUCCUAUUGUUGAAGAUGGCAGGAUAGCUUGUUUCUGAGGCUUAGUUUAUCUAGACUGGAGGCAUCUGUAUUCAAUUGUUACACUCAAAUGGUCUAUCUUCAGGUGUCAUAAGAAUGAGAUUUUUUGUUGCCGCUAUUUAUAGGUUUUAGUUUGAGCCUCAGAUAUGGUUCAUUGUUGGUCAAAUUAAACUUGAUGGCCAAAUAUUGCUCUUUUCAGCUGCUAUUCCCUGCAAAGUUAAAAAGCUUGCCAGAGAAAUAUUGACAGAUCCUGUGAGAGUUACUUUUGUGACAUUGGCAUAGCUAAUGAGGACAUUACAUAAAUAAUUUAAGUGAUUCCUACAUAAAAGCUUCCUGGACUGAUUGAGAAUGGUGAUGUUCUUUUCUUUGCUUAAAAAAAGGAAACAGUAGAUGAGACUGAAUCCCAAUUGGCUCAUAAGGGAUUUAGAUUAUAGCUCUCCAUGGUGACAAGUAUCAAGUUUCUCGUACAGAGAUACUGCAAAAAUUUAAAUCUGGCAUAUAUCACGUUCUUAUUGCAACUGAUGUUUCUGCUGUAGUCUUGACAUCAAAUCCCUUAAGUCAGUGGUGAACUAUGACAUAGCUAAAGAUAUGGACAUGAAUGUUCACCGAAUUAGGAGAACAGGUCGAGCCUGUGACAAAGAUGGGACAACCUACACUCUUAUUACUCAUAAGUUACAUGGAAGCACGCUUUACUGGUGAACAGGAAAACAGUUUGGUUGCUGCUGGUCAAAAUGUGUCCAUGGAACUAAUGGACCAUUCCAUGAAGGAUGGGAGGUUCCGGUCCAAAAGGGAUGCAAGAAAAAGAGGCAGAGAAGGGCCAAAGGAAGGGGAGGAGGAAGCAAUAGAGGUGUACGAGGUGUGGAUUUUGAUCUAGGUAUUGGAUACAAUCCUGAAUCAAAUAACCCUCCCCAGAGCGCUGCUCUGAGCCGUUUUGCUACUGUUAAUUCCCUGAAGACAGGCACGAUGACACAAUUUAAAAGUAACUUUGUUGCUGCAUCAUCAAAUUCUCAAAAUCAGGGGACUAAUAAUAAGGUAAUUGAAUUUGUCACAAGUAUUUUUCCCUUGUUACCUAUUUGAUAAAUCUUAUGCUUGAGCAAACAAAAUAGAGCAACCCCAGAAAGGAGAAAAUACUGCAGAACAUAUUAUGGGUGCUCUUUUAAACUUCCGCUUACCUGGAAAAACUGAAAAACAUUUUAGUAAACUACUGUAGUAGAUGGAUUACAUUGGAAAGCUAGUGUACAACAAAUUAAUGUAGUUACUUAACUCUUGAGUGGGCAAACUAAAGCACAACUUCUAAUUGGUAGUCUGGUAUUUAUUUUCUUGGUUCAAGUUCAUAAGUCAUAUUAACUUGGCUAAAGUCUCCCAUAAAGCACCUCUAAAUUAUUCUUUGGGUUGGUUUUAGGCCUAUUUUCAGCCAAUUCUUCCAUAAAAUUUGUGCGUUAGUCAAGUGUAGUAGGAUUUCAAAUAUGCUUGAAUUAAAAACUUAGUAUCAAAUACAGUUUAGGAAUUUUUUCAUUGCAUCCUUUCAGUUUUGUGCAAUGAUUAUAUAUUGAAAUUUUCAAACGGGUGACGCUGUUUUCCAUUCCUAAACUCCAGGUGGAGUUCGUGAUAACCAUAGAGAUCUUCUCAAGAAGGUUGAACAAAAGUAUAGAUAUUAGGGAAACUGUGUUUUGUUAGGGGAACACAUUGGUUUUUUGGAUGCAAAAGAAAUGGUUGGUUUGGAAACAGAACAACAUAAAAUUUCAAGUGCCAGGAAUACACACAAAUGACAUUAUUAUGCAGUUAAGUUGUUAUUUUUGCUAAGUUCAAGUAUGAUUGUCCCAGACCGUAUGAUCUAAACCUAUUUUAUAGUGGACGAUGAAUUACUUGGUAUGGUAAAACUAAAUUAUUAGGUAAUUUUAAGUAAGACUUUUCAUUGUUACCUUUCAUUCUUGAAAAGCAAACACCUGAUGUAACACUAAAUUAGACAAGCCACUGGAAAAUAAAAUUAAAUAGUCCAAUAUAGAAGACAGAGUCUUAUUGAGUGUCGCAAAGGUCUUACCAGAUUCCUUAUCACCAAGGAGGCGAAGAUAAGAGGAGAACUGUAUGAGGUUUGAUAUCUGUGGACUAUCAAUUCUGAAGAUAAGAGUUUGAAAGUUAAUAUGCAGAUUAUGACUUAAUGUGGUUUCCCAGAUUCUUGAAAGUUCUUGAAACCUUAUGAUAUGUGUUAACUAUAUACUUAAUAUGUUCCCAGAUUCUCUAACCCAUUGUGUUUCCUCUGUAUAUAAGCUUUUCUAAUUAAAACUUUCUUAUAUUAUUGUAGCUUGGUGAUAUUUCUAGAUAAGUGAUGAAUUUAUGACUUCUUUUACGGUGAACGCUUUAACUAAUUCUAAUGCAAAUAAAUAAAUAAAGCUCCAUUAGUUAGAUGGAGCUCCAUCAAAAGAUGGUGUCAAUGAAUGAUUGUGGUGUUAUUGUCUUCCUGUUCUAUAUUUGGUGGACUAGAGGCCAUUUCAACGUUACCAAGUGCCUACAAGUAUGUUAAAAUAUGAAAGCAUGACAUAGGCAAUUAGAGUAAUGUCUAAUGAGUUAUCUGGGACAAAAUAAAAGUUUAGAAAUUGAAAGGUCAGUCCUAAACGAAGCCUCUAUUUCCUAUCCAAAACUUUCUACUUCAAACAAUAGUAUACAUUACUUUUGUAGAAGCUAAAAAAUUAGUCUAUUCAUUUCCUUAUGUGAUACAAAUUUACUCCAUCGGUAAGCUCGUAUAAAACUAAGCAUAGAUAUUAACUAAACAAAGUCCUGCACAACUCACCAAGGUAUAGGCAUAUGCAAUUGUACUCUCCAAAGUAUAUGGAAAUGUACUCACCAAAGUAUAUUCAACUGUACUCUCCAACUCUGUACUCUCCAACUCUUGGAUUCUUACAUAUGCAAGUUUAGAAGAUGCACAAGCUCAUUAUUAUUUUGCUAAGAACGUUAUGUAAAGCUUGACAUCAUAUUCUAGCUUGGGAUGUUAAUUGGUUAAGUCUUGUUAAUUGGUUAAGUCUUUUUUGUUUAGCAAAUAUUGAAACUAUAUGUAUUAUCUUUUGACAUUUUUAGUAGCAAUUUUAUAUUAAUAAUGAAAUAUAUACUUAUAUGAUAUGAAGUUUCAGGACAUACAAUUGUUGGUAAAUUAGAUACAUGAAUAUAAUAUUAUUUGAUCUCAAACAUUAAUCUAGGACGAGUUAAUUAUUCGUCUCUAAAGGUUAAUCAAGAAUGAGUUAGUUCCUCGUCUCUAAAGGUCAACUUAGGAUGAGGAAUUCGCUCCUUUCUAGAGAUUAAUCUAGGAUGAGUUAGAUGCUCGUCGUUAUAGAUUAAUUUAGGACAAGGUAGUUACUCAUCAUAAAAAUUAUGUAGCAAUAAGAAAAUAACUACUUUUUAAAGAUGAAAAUCAUCCCUAUACAGUCUCUAAAAGUAUUUUUGAGACCAGAAAUGUUACCAUCCUUAAUGACAUUUAACAACCAACUACAGUACCUCAUUGCAAUAGACCUUUAGCGAAAGAGGCUAUAAGGACAAAACACGACUAAUAUUUUUGCAUCCUAAAUGAUCAUCCGUGAUUAGAAUUGCACUUUUAAGGAUGAGAAUUCCCUUCCCUAGAGGCUGUUUUUCUUGUAGUGCCAAUGAGAUCAACUUGACAAGCACCUAGCUCAAGCUAGUAAUGCUAGUUUCCACGAUUGAACUCUAAAUAACUUAAUAAAGUACAAACGUAUUUGGAAUUCACUUUGAACAUUGUAAACACAUACUUUAACACUCAGAUUCAUAUUUAUCUUAUUAUCAACCUAUAGAACACGAAUCAUCCUCAAAACAAGGCUAAAAAGACUAGAAAAGUGACACUGAAAUACAUAAAUACACCCAACAUCAAGGAUUGAUUUGGAUCUUGUCUUGGUGAUUUCUUUUAAUCAUCAUCUUGAUUUAAGGAAUGUUAUCUUCCCUCAUUGUUAAUUCUUACUAGUGGCAUGGUUUUUACGAAUAUUUUCAUGACUUCAUAGAUUGUAUAAUUUUGGUUUUCAAAUAUGAAUUGGGUGUUUUGAUAUUAAAUGGUUGGUUUUGAUAUUAAUUAUGUUGGUGGUUUUGGAUAAUUGGAUUGCAUGGGAAUGGUUUAAUACUAAUUAGAAUUAGUUUUGGUUAUAUUAUGCCCUCAAUAUGUUUGACAAAAUGCCUAUAAUAAUGUGUUCAUUGCAUGAGUACCUUUAAUGGAACUCUUACUUGUUUUAAAACUUGGUAAAGGAAUUAUGCAUGGUUUAAAUGGCUUGGAAAGGUAAAUGGAUAAAUGGUUAUGCUUGUGGGGUACAUGGAAUCCCCCAAGUGGUUUAAUAUUAUAAAUGGAAGGGCACUUGAAAGUUUCCUUAAACCUAUAUGUGGUUGGCUAUGGAUAGUACUUGCAAAUAUGGUCGGUAUGACGAUACCAUCACUAAAUGAACUUGGUUAAUAAAUGGUAAAUGGAUUGGUUGGUUUCUUAGUAAUGGUUUUAAUUGGGAAAUAAUGGCAGAAUGUGUAGCAAAGUCAUGGAAGGUGGAGGUCUCGGAGGGACCAAAACUGGAAACUUAUAUUUGCCGAUAUGAGGUUGUUCUUGGUGAUCAUGUGUAUGAUGUCACACUAUAUUUUGGGGGAUAUACUAUUCAUCCCAGGUUUUCUUCCUUGGUCGUGCAGCUUUAUGCACUAGGGCCCUUUUAGUAGGAGAGCUGAACCCAUAUAGCCCAUGGGUAGUUUAGGUUGAUAAAGCUACACAACCCAGGUAAAGGUUUUAAAGGCAUGCUAAACCCAAUCCCAUUUCUCGGUAUGGUUAUAUAUAUAUAUGUAUGGUUGUAUGCAUAUGGAUGGUUUUACUUUUUUUUAUAAAUGGCAUUAUUUUAUCCUUAUUCAAAGAUCAUGCUAGCGUUCACCUGCUAACCCAUCUACUGGCGGCUGUAUACCUACACUGUGCAAGAAUCAACCGUUCUACUCAUCCUAUAUAGUGAUUGACUCAGGAAUCAACAUUUGGACUGAAGUGGUGAGCUUCCAUCUUUUCAGAAGACUCUAUUUCAUGUUAUGGAUAUUUCUAGACAGUUUGAUUUUAUUUUGGAUAUUGGUUUUGUCCAUGAUUGGGGGCAUGUCCUAAUCAAAUUUUAUUUCUCUUUUGGUUAGAAAAUUUAUGGUACUACUAUGGAUUGUAAUAGGCAAGAUCGGUAUUGGUGUCGGCCUUGGUAUUGGGAAAAGUUGAAGGGCUGACAUCAUUGGACAA